Molecule: long non-coding RNA, 2875 nt
Organism: Ziziphus jujuba (common jujube)
Lineage: Eukaryota; Viridiplantae; Streptophyta; Magnoliopsida; Rosales; Rhamnaceae
Exons: 2
Source: RefSeq, a predicted model, not a curated record
UUUUUUAAAUGUUUUUUAAUUUUUUUUAUAACUUGUCUAGUAAAAAUUAAAAGAUUCCCUACCAUAACAAAUGUUGCAUAGUUUUAUAAGUAGAUGCAGGAUUUCUAGAGCAACCCAAUUAGGCUAUUUUAACUUUUGUUGUUCGAGCAGUAAAUUCUGUAACAUUGAUUAUACGUGUGGUUUACUUGUCUUAAAUAAUUUAUUAUGAGAAUGUUCUGUGCCCAUAGUGCAUCUUACUUUGAAAUUGGUUGAUGUCCAUUGUUCCUUUGAUGAUAUAGUUACAGGGAAUUCAUUUGGACCCAAGUAUAUAUCUAAUGGAUUAUGAGAAUAAUAAGUCAACAUCUGCCAUGGAAAAUAAAGUUUAAAAGGCAAAUUUUGCACCCAUUGCAACAGCUGACACUGAUUCACUAUUGGAAAACAAUUCUUUAAACAUUCCUGGAAGCCAAGGUGAAGCUAGCAAAUGUACAAAGCAUGGCAGUUAAGAAAAAAGCAAUAUUAUCCAAUAAGAAGAAAUAAACGUGUCUCAGAAUAUUGAAAAAGUUAAGCCUUUUCAUCUUUUAGGGUGUUUAUGCCAUCUUUAUGCAUUAUCUUUUGAGCUGCUCAUUCUCAUUGGAUUCUAUUUUUCUUAUGCUACGUAUCAAAUGUAAAUGCACACUAAUAUGAAGGCUGGUGGACAAAAACUUAUCUGUGGUAGACAUUAGUGUUCGUUCAGAGGUAAAUAACUAUCCUCAUUACUGUUUUCUUGUGAAGAAAUGACCUUUCAGUAUUGCUGCAUGUUUUGUUCUUUUUUUCCACAUUUAUAUUUUCUUUAAUUGACUAUGAAAUUAAUUGACUAUGAAAUUGAAAGUAUUUUUAAAAUCAACUUUUUUCCACAUUUUACUUUAAAUUUUGUGAGAUUCUCCUCCAAGAUGAAUAUGAGUAUGCGUGGUUGGUCUGGUGUGUUCAUUGUAGUUGGUUUUCGUUACUUGGAUGCUAUCUUGCUUAGGCUUAUGUUUUGUUCUAUUUGGGUGGUUUAUGUUUUUUGGCUUAGUUCUUAAAAUUAGUGAGGUUGAAUUUUAAAAGGAUUGUAUUGCUGCAACAAAUGUUGAAUAAUUUUUAUAAGUUAGAGGAUAAAUAUGAGCAUAAGUAGUUGGUCAGGUGUGUUCAUUUUAGUUGAUUUCCCUUAUUUGGGUGCUAUCUUGCUUGGACUUUCUUUUAUUUGGGCGGUUUUCAUGUUUUGGCUUGGUUUUUAAAGGUAUGGCUCCUUUAUCAGCCCAAAAAAAAAAUACACAGGUAUGCACCUUUGUGUCUGUUUCAUCUCGUUUGAUGGGUUGUAGUUAGAGAUUUCCAUUAUCAAAGCACUUUUAGUGUUUGGCAACAGUAAGAAGUGGUUUAGCUGAGGGGAGCUGAGAAUGUAAUUAUUAUUUGGUUUUUAUUUCAUAUUUGUUAUUAUUAUUAAUAUUAUUUAGUUUUUCUUAUUCAUGUAUACUUUCUCUAUUGAUAUUUCAAAAUAUAGGUUCAGUGCUUUGAACUUACUUUGAUGUUUUAAUCCAAGCUGUAGCGUUAAGUUAAUAACCAUAGUAGAUGGUAAAUGGGACAGCUAGACAACUAACUUAGUUCCUCACGUCUUCAACUUAUUAUCAAAUUUAGUGGUUCUUCUUUGUUGUAAUGUUUUGUUGCUUGCCCCUUUGAUAUGGUUGAUUUACUUAAAUCCUGGAAUAUUGAGUGGUAAUGAGAAUAAGAAUGAAUCUAUGGUAAUAAGUCUUUUUAACCUUGAAAUGGGAAAUGUGGUGAAACACUUAGACCAAUAUAUGUUUGGGUUUGUGAAUUAUUUAAGUUUCACUUCAUUUUAAGCUUCUUUAAGGCAAUUUUGGUGUAUACCCUGCAUGCCAUGAUUAGCUAUAGAUUCAUGUCAAACAAUUGGAAUUGGAUCAAGCAUGUGGAAAGUGAUCUAGAAUAGCAUUUGUGGGUUUAAUGCGAAAAUUGAAUUUAUCUUUUAUGAAAAGGCAAUUUUUCAAAUUAGGAUAUUCAUUCCUUUCAGAAAAAAACUUAAAAAAUAAAAAUAAAAAUUCUUUAUCUAUUUAUUUUUUAAUUGUCUAUUUCUUCCAUUGCUUCAUUAUUAUAAACUCUCAAUUAUUUUUGAAAAUUUUUAAAUUGAUUUUGGAUAUAUUACUUUUAUUUUUCUCUCUUUCUGAAUCAGUCAUACUAUUAUUGUAAUUUUUUUCUUCUGAUAGAUUUGGUUAUUAUCCAGUGUAUUGAGCAAGGAAUUUCAUUAGUGUCCAAUGGCAAUGUUAGGCAGCUUGGAGGGAUUUAACUUUACAUGCACAGAUAAACUCAAGGCAAAGAUUAUUGGUUAAUGGCCUGUGUUAGAAAUAUGGUACAAACUUAGCCACCUUCGAGUUGAUAUUCAAGGUGCUGAAACAUUGAGGAGGAUACUUGAGAACUUUGCAGUUUUUAUCUUUUUGAUGGCAGAGAGUGAAGCUAAGCUUUUUGAGAGGUUGAUUGACCAGAAGACAUAGACUAAAGAAGCUUUUCUUGUGAGGAUUGCAACCGCUAGAGAGGAAGUGAAGCUUGUUAGAAACUUUGAUUAUGUUGUUGUAAAUGUUGAGGGCAAGUUGGAGAAUGCUGUUAGAUUGGUGGAGUGUAUUAUUGAUGUAGAGAAAGCUAAAGUCUGGCAAAGGAGUGCAGUGAUAUAGUUAUUUGGAAGGUAAUUGAGAAUUUUUUUUUUUUUUUUUUUGGUUGAGAAUUUUUUUGUUCCAUUUAGAAUUUGUUAGAAUUUUGAUUGGAAUUUAUUUUUAGGAAAUGUGGGAAUAUUGAUUGUAGUUCUAUCAUUUAGAUAGUAUAACAUAUUUUUUGGAUUUAAAAUUACUAAUAAUUGAAGAUAUUUAUUUAUUUA